This 1510-nucleotide ribosomal RNA is filed under the name Helicobacter pylori. Its description in RNAcentral is "bacterial SSU rRNA". It matches the Rfam family "Bacterial small subunit ribosomal RNA". Lineage: Bacteria; Pseudomonadati; Campylobacterota; Epsilonproteobacteria; Campylobacterales; Helicobacteraceae. The record is from RNAcentral.
UUUUAUGGAGAGUUUGAUCCUGGCUCAGAGUGAACGCUGGCGGCGUGCCUAAUACAUGCAAGUCGAACGAUGAAGCUUCUAGCUUGCUAGAAUGCUGAUUAGUGGCGCACGGGUGAGUAACGCAUAGGUCAUGUGCCUCUUAGUUUGGGAUAGCCAUUGGAAACGAUGAUUAAUACCAGAUACUCCCUACGGGGGAAAGAUUUAUCGCUAAGAGAUCAGCCUAUGUCCUAUCAGCUUGUUGGUAAGGUAAUGGCUUACCAAGGCUAUGACGGGUAUCCGGCCUGAGAGGGUGAACGGACACACUGGAACUGAGACACGGUCCAGACUCCUACGGGAGGCAGCAGUAGGGAAUAUUGCUCAAUGGGGGAAACCCUGAAGCAGCAACGCCGCGUGGAGGAUGAAGGUUUUAGGAUUGUAAACUCCUUUUGUUAGAGAAGAUAAUGACGGUAUCUAACGAAUAAGCACCGGCUAACUCCGUGCCAGCAGCCGCGGUAAUACGGAGGGUGCAAGCGUUACUCGGAAUCACUGGGCGUAAAGAGCGCGUAGGCGGGAUAGUCAGUCAGGUGUGAAAUCCUAUGGCUUAACCAUAGAACUGCAUUUGAAACUACUAUUCUAGAGUGUGGGAGAGGUAGGUGGAAUUCUUGGUGUAGGGGUAAAAUCCGUAGAGAUCAAGAGGAAUACUCAUUGCGAAGGCGACCUGCUGGAACAUUACUGACGCUGAUUGCGCGAAAGCGUGGGGAGCAAACAGGAUUAGAUACCCUGGUAGUCCACGCCCUAAACGAUGGAUGCUAGUUGUUGGAGGGCUUAGUCUCUCCAGUAAUGCAGCUAACGCAUUAAGCAUCCCGCCUGGGGAGUACGGUCGCAAGAUUAAAACUCAAAGGAAUAGACGGGGACCCGCACAAGCGGUGGAGCAUGUGGUUUAAUUCGAAGAUACACGAAGAACCUUACCUAGGCUUGACAUUGAGAGAAUCCGCUAGAAAUAGUGGAGUGUCUAGCUUGCUAGACCUUGAAAACAGGUGCUGCACGGCUGUCGUCAGCUCGUGUCGUGAGAUGUUGGGUUAAGUCCCGCAACGAGCGCAACCCCCUUUCUUAGUUGCUAACAGGUUAUGCUGAGAACUCUAAGGAUACUGCCUCCGUAAGGAGGAGGAAGGUGGGGACGACGUCAAGUCAUCAUGGCCCUUACGCCUAGGGCUACACACGUGCUACAAUGGGGUGCACAAAGAGAAGCAAUACUGCGAAGUGGAGCCAAUCUUCAAAACGCCUCUCAGUUCGGAUUGUAGGCUGCAACUCGCCUGCAUGAAGCUGGAAUCGCUAGUAAUCGCAAAUCAGCCAUGUUGCGGUGAAUACGUUCCCGGGUCUUGUACUCACCGCCCGUCACACCAUGGGAGUUGUGUUUGCCUUAAGUCAGGAUGCUAAAUUAGCUACUGCCCACGGCACACACAGCGACUGGGGUGAAGUCGUAACAAGGUAACCGUAGGUGAACCUGCGGUUGGAUCACCUCCUUUCUAGA